GGAGACGUGGCCGAGCGGCCGAAGGCGCUCCCCUGCUAAGGGAGUAGGGGCUGAAAGGUCCCUCAUGGGUUCAAAUCCCAUCGUCUCCGCCC
This 92-nucleotide transfer RNA is filed under the name Boudabousia tangfeifanii. Its description in RNAcentral is "Actinomyces tangfeifanii tRNA-Ser". It matches the Rfam family "tRNA". From Rfam's summary of the family: Transfer RNA (tRNA) molecules are approximately 80 nucleotides in length. Their secondary structure includes four short double-helical elements and three loops (D, anti-codon, and T loops). Lineage: Bacteria; Bacillati; Actinomycetota; Actinomycetes; Actinomycetales; Actinomycetaceae. The record is from RNAcentral.